GAGUUUGAUCCUGGCUCAGAACGAACGCUGGCGGCAGGCUUAACACAUGCAAGUCGCAGGAGAAGGGGGCUUCGGUCCCCGGACACUGGCGGACGGGUGAGUAACGCGUGGGGACCUACCCUGGGGUGGGGGAUAACCGCUGGAAACGGCGGCUAAUACCGCAUACGCCCCUUGCUUUGCAGGGGGGAAAGCUCCGGUGCCCUGGGAUGGCCCCGCGUCGGAUUAGCUUGUUGGUGGGGUAACGGCUCACCAAGGCGACGAUCCGUAGCUGGUCUGAGAGGAUGACCAGCCACACUGGAACUGAGACACGGUCCAGACUCCUACGGGAGGCAGCAGUGGGGAAUAUUGGACAAUGGGGGCAACCCUGAUCCAGCCAUGCCGCGUGUGUGAAGAAGGCCUUAGGGUUGUAAAACACUUUCAGCGGGGAAGAUGAUGACGGUACCCGCAGAAGAA
This 453-nucleotide ribosomal RNA is filed under the name uncultured Alphaproteobacteria bacterium. RNAcentral's name for it is "bacterial SSU rRNA". It matches the Rfam family "Bacterial small subunit ribosomal RNA", at positions 9 to 489 of the family's 1533-position model. The record is from RNAcentral. Lineage: Bacteria; Pseudomonadati; Pseudomonadota; Alphaproteobacteria.